AGAGUUGGUCUAGAGGUUGCGGGGUCAUUUGAUUAAUGAUUCCGAGGAAAGUCCGAACUCCCGAAAGACCACACUUGCUGGAUAACGUCCAGUGCGCGUGAGCGUGAGGAUAGUGCCACAGAAAAAUACCGCCUCCUUUUUUCAGUGAUUAGUAAACAGUAACGAAAGUAAAUUCACUGAUAACUGAUAACUGAUUGGGGGUAAGGGUGCAAAGGUGCGGUAAGAGCGCACCAGCAGUAUCGAGAGGUACUGGCUCGGUAAACCCCGGUGGGGAGCAAGGUGGAGGGACAAAGGUUGGUCUUUUUCCUGUCCCGUUUUUAGGAACCGCUUGAGGUAAUUGGUAACAAUUAUCCCAGAUAGAUAACCUCUAUUCCAACAAAGGUAAAAGCAAUUUUACUGCUGUUGGGAAAUACAGAAUUCGGCUUAUGUCUGACUCUCUCC
This 441-nucleotide RNase P RNA is filed under the name Microcystis sp. M144S2. RNAcentral describes it as "RNase P RNA component class A". It matches the Rfam family "Bacterial RNase P class A". Rfam says of the family: Ribonuclease P (RNase P) is a ubiquitous endoribonuclease, found in archaea, bacteria and eukarya as well as chloroplasts and mitochondria. Its best characterised activity is the generation of mature 5'-ends of tRNAs by cleaving the 5'-leader elements of precursor-tRNAs. Cellular RNase Ps are ribonucleoproteins. The record is from RNAcentral. RNAcentral also lists the same sequence under 3 other names. Lineage: Bacteria; Bacillati; Cyanobacteriota; Cyanophyceae; Chroococcales; Microcystaceae.